RNAcentral lists this ribosomal RNA (386 nucleotides) under uncultured bacterium. Its description in RNAcentral is "bacterial SSU rRNA". It matches the Rfam family "Bacterial small subunit ribosomal RNA", at positions 28 to 417 of the family's 1533-position model. The record is from RNAcentral.
GACGAACGCUGGCGGCGUGCAUAACACAUGCAAGUCAAGGGGGUCAGUAGCAAUACUGGCAACCGGCGAACGGGUGCGUAACACGUAAGCGACCUACCUCAAUGUGGGGCAUAGCCGGCCUAACGGCCGGGUAAUUCCGCAUGUGAUCUUGGAGGGGCAUCUUUCCGAGAUGAAACCAGUAAUGGGCAUUGAGAGGGGCUUGCGGCCUAUCAGCUUGUUGGUGAGGUAACGGCUCACCAAGGCUACGACGGGUAGCUGGUCUGAGAGGAUGGCCAGCCACAUUGGGACUGAGAAACGGCCCAGACUCCUACGGGAGGCAGCAGUGGGGAAUCUUGCGCAAUGGUCUAACGACUGACGCAGCGACGCCGCGUGAGGGAUGACGGCCU